GGGCCUAUGGCUUAAUGGAUAAAGCGCCGGUCUACGGAACUGGAGACUCCAGGUUCGUUCCCUGGUAGGCUCG
RNAcentral lists this transfer RNA (73 nucleotides) under Pleodorina starrii. It matches the Rfam family "tRNA". Rfam says of the family: Transfer RNA (tRNA) molecules are approximately 80 nucleotides in length. Their secondary structure includes four short double-helical elements and three loops (D, anti-codon, and T loops). The record is from Rfam by way of RNAcentral. Lineage: Eukaryota; Viridiplantae; Chlorophyta; Chlorophyceae; Chlamydomonadales; Volvocaceae.